This 1000-nucleotide long non-coding RNA is filed under the name Heterocephalus glaber (naked mole-rat). Its description in RNAcentral is "lncRNA (ENSHGLG00000038667.1)". The record is from RNAcentral. Lineage: Eukaryota; Metazoa; Chordata; Mammalia; Rodentia; Bathyergidae.
AGUUGACAAUAGGUCACAUGCCAAGCCCAGUGACACAGGAAGAAGAUAUCAUGUAGCCAGCUGGCAAAGGGGCAGAGGUAAAGAGCAGAAGGACGGGGAGCCAUACUGCCCAACACCACCCCAUUCCCUGAGUCAUGGAACCAAAACUCAAAGGAAUGAAGAAAUUUGUGUAGGCUUUGAGCCUGAAGCAAAGGGGAAGGGGGCUGAGCUUUGAACUUGGACAUUCCUGACCCCAAAGCUCUACUCAGAACUAUGUGAUUCUACUGUCUUCAUUUUUAGAAGGUGCUUAUACAAGGAUUUUCCAUGCUAAGGCAGCAUCUUCCAGGCCAAAUGGAGUGUUGAGUAAUUGCCUGCUUAAUAUGGUUGAUAGAGAAAGCAAACUUGAAGCCAAAACACUCUAAUUUCCCCUAAACAUAUGUAAUCAUCUUAAUUUUCUCUUUGCCUCUGUUGACAGAGCUUGGGAGAGACAACUCCUUCUCACCAGUCAGCCAGCGUUUCCCUGGGAGGCCCACACAGAGCAACAGGGCUGGUGUCCUUUGCUUCCCAAAUCCACUAAUGUCACUGCCGCCCCUGGACUGGUCCCUCACCCCACCCUUGGGAGUCUUUCUGGCUGGAUGCUGUUUGGAUGAGUUUGAACACUUGCAAUCAGGAGCCUAUGGUUUGGGUGAUGUGUCACCCAGGGUCGGGCUCCACCCACUGCAGUCCAUCUGGGGUCUGAAUGUUACCCAUUAAUGAAAGAUUUGCUGCAGUGGGGCCCCUGCUGUGGAUGGAGGAAGCUGCUGAUUGGGGUCCUGGCUGCUGCUGAGGGCAGUGUUGUCCUAAUGUGAGAGGCAGACAGAGCACAUGUUCAAAGAACUAAAUGCAAGCCCCACAUCAGGACUGGUUCCCUCUAUGGGAACACCCUGGGAGCUGCCCAUGUACAGCUCAAGAUACUGAAGGUUUAGGUGACAUCUUUUUCCAGGGUCCUGUUCCCAGGCACAGGCAGGAAGCUACUUGGCAC